Molecule: ribosomal RNA, 844 nt
Filed under: uncultured bacterium
Lineage: Bacteria
Description: bacterial SSU rRNA
Rfam family: Bacterial small subunit ribosomal RNA
Source: RNAcentral
AGUCGAACGGUGGUAGCAAUACCAUAGUGGCGCACGGGUGCGUAACGCGUAACCAACCUACCCGAAUCUGGGGGAUAGCCCGCCGAAAGGCGGAUUAAUACCGCAUAACACAAGGUGGCGGCAUCGUCUCUUUGUUAAAGAUUUAUUGGAUUCGGAUGGGGUUGCGUGUCAUUAGCUAGUUGGGGGGGUAACGGCCCACCAAGGCGACGAUGGCUAGGGGAGCUGAGAGGCUGGUCCCCCACACGGGCACUGAGAUACGGGCCCGACUCCUACGGGAGGCAGCAGUAGGGAAUAUUGGGCAAUGGGCGAGAGCCUGACCCAGCCAUGCCGCGUGCAGGAUGAAGGCUUUCUGAGUCGUAAACUGCUUUUGCCAGGGAAGAAAAAAGGGGAUGCGUCCUCUACUGACGGUACCUGGUGAAUAAGCACCGGCUAACUCCGUGCCAGCAGCCGCGGUAAUACGGAGGGUGCAAGCGUUGUCCGGAUUUAUUGGGUUUAAAGGGUGCGUAGGCGGCUGAUUAAGUCUGGGGUGAAAGCCCGUUGCUCAACAACGGAACUGCCCUGGAAACUGGUUGGCUUGAGUACAGACGAGGGUGGCGGAAUGGAUGCUGUAGCGGUGAAAUGCAUAGAUAGCAUCCAGAACCCCGAUUGCGAAGGCAGCUGCCUAGACUGUAACUGACGCUGAGGCACGAAAGCGUGGGGAGCGAACAGGAUUAGAUACCCUGGUAGUCCACGCCGUAAACGAUGGAUACUCGCUGGUGGCGAUAGACGGUCACUGGCUUAGCGAAAGCGUUAAGUAUCCCACCUGGGGAGUACGCCCGCAAGGGUGAAACUCAAAAGAAUUGAC